This 27-nucleotide non-coding RNA is filed under the name Cricetulus griseus (Chinese hamster). The record is from RNAcentral. Lineage: Eukaryota; Metazoa; Chordata; Mammalia; Rodentia; Cricetidae.
AGAACUUCAGAGCAAAGGAAGUGGCUU